CUUUGAAGGCACAGUUUAGCAACUUACAGUAUGAUCGGUGAACAGCACUAUUUGGGAAAGGAGUCAUGCAUUGAACAAUCCGAUUUUUGUAUCUAACAAGAGAUUUUCAGGCUGAGUUCCUCUCCUAUAGAGUGUAUAACCUAGCACAGUUACACUGAUAGUUCCCUUCAAGGGAAACUGAUACAAUAUUAUACUAAACUAUAGUUAGUGGUUAUAUUUUACUCCAUUGAUACUUUGUGUCUCUUAGAAUUUCCAGCUUCAUUUUCACAGGCAUUUCUAAAUUUACACUACUAAUUACUUACACUUAGACUCAUGCUGGAAUCUCAGAAAUAAUUAGGAUUAUUCUAC
Molecule: non-coding RNA, 348 nt
Organism: Pelobates cultripes (western spadefoot toad)
Lineage: Eukaryota; Metazoa; Chordata; Amphibia; Anura; Pelobatidae
Source: the annotation of a GenBank genome assembly